This 253-nucleotide ribosomal RNA is filed under the name uncultured bacterium. RNAcentral describes it as "partial 16S ribosomal RNA". It matches the Rfam family "Bacterial small subunit ribosomal RNA", at positions 524 to 776 of the family's 1533-position model. The record is from RNAcentral.
UACGUAGGGUCCGAGCGUUGUCCGGAAUUACUGGGCGUAAAGAGCUCGUAGGUGGUUUGUCGCGUUGUUCGUGAAAACUCACAGCUCAACUGUGGGCGUGCGGGCGAUACGGGCAGACUUGAGUACUGCAGGGGAGACUGGAAUUCCUGGUGUAGCGGUGGAAUGCGCAGAUAUCAGGAGGAACACCGGUGGCGAAGGCGGUUCUCUGGGCCUUACCUGACGCUGAGGAGCGAAAGCAUGGGGAGCAAACAGG